CAGAGUUUUUAUGCCAGAAGUCUAUCAACAAAUGAUUUGCAGAACUGCACCUCAUUGCAAAAAGCAAUGUUUACCAUGGCAAUUUUGAGAAAGGAUCCAAUGAAUUCAAGCCAGUUCUCUGGGUACCAGUACUGGUCAGUGAGCAGGUUCAGAUGGCUAUGUUUUCACCUCCCUGUAAGUUUCACACAGUAAAUGCUAAUGUAAUUAUAAAAUAUCUGUGGGUGACCUUUCUGACCCCUGAGUAAUUUUGUUUGCUUUUGAUAUUUAGUCAUAGCAUAUAUUUAUCACCAGAGCAAAUUCAGUGUGGAGGUGGGCAAAAAUAUACUUAAGUAGCUCUUGACUCUUUGAAGCCAAUAGUAUCUGUUUGGUUUUGCUUGUUCACUCCUUGUAGUUUGUAGGAGUGUAACUAUCUCACAGAAGAUAGAUACUGAUUUUUUCCAUCACUGAUAGAAAGUCAAGAACAUUUC
This 467-nucleotide long non-coding RNA is filed under the name Cyanistes caeruleus (blue tit). RNAcentral's name for it is "lncRNA (ENSCCEG00000017592.1)". Lineage: Eukaryota; Metazoa; Chordata; Aves; Passeriformes; Paridae. The record is from RNAcentral.